This 270-nucleotide unclassified non-coding RNA is filed under the name Amphimedon queenslandica. RNAcentral's name for it is "ubiquitin carboxyl-terminal hydrolase-like, transcript variant X2". The record is from RNAcentral. Lineage: Eukaryota; Metazoa; Porifera; Demospongiae; Haplosclerida; Niphatidae.
AGCAGUAGCAACUCCAAGCCCAGAUGGUUGCCCUUAGAAGCUAAUCCAGAAGUCAUGAACAAGUAUGUCGAUGGACUUGGUGUAGGAAACUCUUUUCAAUUUUGUGACGUCUUUGGAUUAGAUCCUGACCUAUUGAUGAUGAUACCUCAGCCUUGUGCUGCCCUCGUUAUGUUGUUCCCAAUCACAGACAGGUACAAAGCUUUUUGAAAAGAGGAAGAAGAGAAGAUUGAGAAAGAAGGACAGGUAAGAAUUUAGCAAUGAGGUGAAGAA